Molecule: ribosomal RNA, 190 nt
Filed under: uncultured Bacteroidales bacterium
Lineage: Bacteria; Pseudomonadati; Bacteroidota; Bacteroidia; Bacteroidales
Description: partial 16S ribosomal RNA
Rfam family: Bacterial small subunit ribosomal RNA
Source: RNAcentral
UCUCCUACGGGAGGCAGCAGUGAGGAAUAUUGGUCAAUGGACGAGAGUCUGAACCAGCCAAGUAGCGUGCAGGAUGACGGCCCUAUGGGUUGUAAACUGCUUUUAUGUGGGAAUAAAUAAGAUUACGUGUAAUCUGUUGCAUGUACCACAUGAAUAAGGACCGGCUAAUUCCGUGCCAGCCGCCGCGGUA